UAGGGAAUCUUCGGCAAUGGGGGGAACCCUGACCGAGCAACGCCGCGUGAGUGAAGAAGGUUUUCGGAUCGUAAAGCUCUGUUGUUAAGGAAGAACGAGUGUGAGAAUGGAAAGUUCAUGCUGUGACGGUACUUAACCAGAAAGGGACGGCUAACUACGUGCCAGCAGCCGCGGUAAUACGUAGGUGGCAAGCGUUGUCCGGAUUUAUUGGGCGUAAAGCGAGCGCAGGCGGUUAGAUAAGUCUGAAGUUAAAGGCAGUGGCUCAACCAUUGUAGGCUUUGGAAACUGUUUAACUUGAGUGCAGAAGGGGAGAGUGGAAUUCCAUGUGUAGCGGUGAAAUGCGUAGAUAUAUGGAGGAACACCGGUGGCGAAAGCGGCUCUCUGGUCUGUAACUGACGCUGAGGCUCGAAAGCGUGGGUAGCAAACAGG
This 429-nucleotide ribosomal RNA is filed under the name Bacteroidota bacterium. RNAcentral describes it as "Bacteroidetes bacterium partial 16S ribosomal RNA". It matches the Rfam family "Bacterial small subunit ribosomal RNA", at positions 355 to 776 of the family's 1533-position model. Lineage: Bacteria; Pseudomonadati; Bacteroidota. The record is from RNAcentral.